This 692-nucleotide ribosomal RNA is filed under the name uncultured eukaryote. RNAcentral describes it as "eukaryotic LSU rRNA". The stretch from base 263 to 417 matches the Rfam family "5.8S ribosomal RNA". The record is from RNAcentral.
UCCGUAGGUGAACCUGCGGAAGGAUCAUUCGCAUGCGAUCCAGAGUACUUGGUGCACAUCUCGGUGUGAGCUUCUUCUCAGGGAUGAAGAUUGUAUCGCUGCCCCUGGGGAGUUAGCUCGAAGGUGGCAGAGGUUGCGGUGGGUGUGCUUGCCACAUUCUGCUCAGCCACUGUCACCACAAACUCACUUCUUUUCGUUUUUGAAGAAUGUCCUGUCUGGCUUUCUCGGGGGCCUGGUCCCUCGUGAUUGUUACUCUUAUUACACCUUUCAGCGAUGGAUGUCUGGGCUCGAACUUCGAUGAAGGGCGCAGCGAAGUGCGAUGAGCGUUGUGAAUUGCAGAAUUCAGUGAAUCAAUAGGGUCUUGAACGCAUACUGCGCUCUCGGGAUAUUCCUGAGAGCAAGUCUGCUUCAGAGUCUGAUCCAUUUUCUGACUUCGAGAUAGUCUGUCCCUCGUGGCAGCCUCGUCGUGCGUGCUUGUGCGUCAUAGUUGCUACUGGCGCAUGAAGUGUAUGAGGCUCUUUCGCGAAGCGCAAUGGAACAAGGGCAGUUUACUGGCUCGUGCAUUGCGUGGAGUGCGGGAGCGGUCUAGGCCUCUUCCCCGGGUUCUCUUGGGAAGUUGGCUUUACUGGCAUCGUCCUUUCCAAAGACAUGAAGUUAGACUAGAAAACCUGCUGAAUUUAAGCAUAUCAAUA